GCAGAGGUGGCUCAGUGGUAGAAUUCUUGCCUUCCAUGCACGAGACCUGGGUUCCAUUCCCCACCAAUGCA
Molecule: transfer RNA, 71 nt
Filed under: Loxodonta africana (African savanna elephant)
Lineage: Eukaryota; Metazoa; Chordata; Mammalia; Proboscidea; Elephantidae
Rfam family: tRNA
About the family: Transfer RNA (tRNA) molecules are approximately 80 nucleotides in length.
Source: Rfam by way of RNAcentral